GGCCGUCGUAGGUGGAGUUGGUCACCACCGCCAGCUUGAUGCGCUGCCCGCGAUCACGGGCGAGAGGGUUGGCCUGGAUCUUCGCCUGGAUCGCCUC
RNAcentral lists this transfer RNA (97 nucleotides) under Pseudomonas putida. RNAcentral describes it as "tRNA-Ile". The record is from RNAcentral. RNAcentral also lists the same sequence under 1 other name. Lineage: Bacteria; Pseudomonadati; Pseudomonadota; Gammaproteobacteria; Pseudomonadales; Pseudomonadaceae.